This 292-nucleotide ribosomal RNA is filed under the name uncultured bacterium. RNAcentral describes it as "partial 16S ribosomal RNA". It matches the Rfam family "Bacterial small subunit ribosomal RNA", at positions 505 to 796 of the family's 1533-position model. The record is from RNAcentral.
GUGUCAGCAGCCGCGGUAAUACGUAGGGUGCGAGCGUUAAUCGGAAUUACUGGGCGUAAAGUGUGCGCAGGUGGCUGAGCAAGUCGAGUGUGAAAGCCCCGGGCUUAACCUGGGAAUUGCGCUCGAAACUACUUGGCUGGAGUGUGGCAGAGGGAGGUGGAAUUCCACGUGUAGCGGUGAAAUGCGUAGAGAUGUGGAGGAACACCAAUGGCGAAGGCAGCCUCCUGGGCCAACACUGACACUCAUGCACGAAAGCGUGGGGAGCAAACAGGAUUAGAAACCCUGGUAGUCC